UAGGUGGCAAGCGUUAUCCGGAAUUACUGGGUGUAAAGGGUGUGUAGGCGGGAAUGCAAGUCAGACGUGAAAACUUAAGGCUCAACCUUAAGCCUGCGUUUGAAACUGUGUUUCUUGAGAGUGGGAGAGGUAAACGGAAUUCCUGGUGUAGUAGUGAAAUGCGUAGAUAUCAGGAGGAACACCGGUGGCGAAGGCGGUUUACUGGACCACAACUGACGCUGAGACACGAAAGCGUGGGGAGCAAA
RNAcentral lists this ribosomal RNA (245 nucleotides) under uncultured bacterium. RNAcentral's name for it is "partial 16S ribosomal RNA". It matches the Rfam family "Bacterial small subunit ribosomal RNA", at positions 528 to 772 of the family's 1533-position model. The record is from RNAcentral.